UACGAAGGGUGCAAGCGUUACUCGGAAUUACUGGGCGUAAAGCGUGCGUAGGUGGUUUGUUAAGUCUGUUGUGAAAGCCCCGGGCUCAACCUGGGAAUGGCAAUGGAUACUGGCAAGCUAGAGUGCGGUAGAGGGUAGUGGAAUUCCCGGUGUAGCGGUGAAAUGCGUAGAGAUCGGGAGGAACACCAGUGGCGAAGGCGGCUCGCUGGGCCGGUCCUGACACUGAGGCGCGAAGGCGUGGGGAGCGAACGGG
RNAcentral lists this ribosomal RNA (253 nucleotides) under uncultured bacterium. RNAcentral describes it as "partial 16S ribosomal RNA". It matches the Rfam family "Bacterial small subunit ribosomal RNA", at positions 524 to 776 of the family's 1533-position model. The record is from RNAcentral.